RNAcentral lists this ribosomal RNA (207 nucleotides) under uncultured bacterium. Its description in RNAcentral is "partial 16S ribosomal RNA". It matches the Rfam family "Bacterial small subunit ribosomal RNA", at positions 568 to 774 of the family's 1533-position model. The record is from RNAcentral.
AGCGCAGGCGGGAAGACAAGUUGGAAGUGAAAUCUAUGGGCUCAACCCAUAAGCUGCUUUCAAAACUGUUUUUCUUGAGUAGUGCAGAGGUAGGCGGAAUUCCCGGUGUAGCGGUGGAAUGCGUAGAUAUCGGGAGGAACACCAGUGGCGAAGGCGGCCUACUGGGCACCAACUGACGCUGAGGCUCGAAAGUGUGGGUAGCAAACA